UAGUUGUCAGCCAGAGUGAAGCCUUGUGAUGUAACUGUUGAGGCCUUUAGAAGCUGUUCCACCCCCAUGGAGACCUGCCAAACAGUGUCUCCGCUGGAGCCAGCGAGUACAGGAGCUGUUUACAGACAUGAACUCCUAUGACUCCGGAUCUGCAAUUGGUACAAGCCAGUUGUGUAAUGCUGGGCUUUCCAGAGUGGCAUAAUAUUGGAUCUACAUGAAUUGUGCAACAAAACCAGACAAUAAAAAGGGAUCACACUUCUGAGGAAUCUAAACUCAGGAGACAACUCACCAGUGAAAACAUGAAGUCUGUGAUCCUUGCACUUUUGGUGGUGUUGGUGGUCGGCCACAGUGACGCCUUGAGGUGUAACUGUGGAGGUAAGACUCAGUGUUCAAGCAGAAUUCAGACCUGCUCUGGUUCAGGCCAAGUCUGUAUCAGCUUCAGGUUUAACCCCCCUGCUACCGGAUACUUCCAGAGUUGCUAUCGAGCAACUGAUUGUCAAAGGUUGAUUAGUGCAGGGAUAGGAACCGGGCGCUGCUGCAGCUCUGACCUGUGCAACUAAAGAAUGAACAUUGUGCAACACAUCUUCCAGUGAAUAAACAAUCCAUUGUAAUGUAUUGUUUGCUGCAUUGUCCUAAUAAAGAUCAUUCAGUUGCUACUCUUGUCUUUUUUCACUUUUCAUAUUUCUCUUGUGUUUAUUAUGGGUUUGGCGUUUGUUGCCUGCAUUGUGUUCUUGUGACAAAGAAGUUAUGCAACAUAGCUUUUUUUGAGGAGAAAAAAUAAAGGGCUUAUGUUACAGUGAUUGGGAUAUUUUAAGAGAUGAAACUUUUAUUUUGAAAAGAAUAAUAAUCACAGAAGACAUGGACACAGUUCAAAUCCACACCAAAGUCCCAUCAACACAUCACGGUUAUAUUAGAGCGCCAUCUUGUGUCAGAUUUUUUUGAUCAAGCUCCAUUAAUUAUUCUGAUAUCAAGGAAAAUGUGGAAAAUUUGAAAAUAGGUGAAAACAUUUCCAGGAUCCUGCCCCUGACACAGAUCCAAACCAGAAUGUAACUGGAUCUUCCUUGUGUCAUGGUCAGGCCCCACCCCUUCACCAAAUGUCUUGGAAACUAGUUUCGUAGGUUUUGCGUAAUCCUGAAAACAAUCAAACAAGGAAACACGGACAACAACAAGUCUUUGUCUACUUGUAUUAAGGGAAAGUUGUUACAAAAUAAAAGAGGAAAUAACUAAAAAGGGUGUUGCACAGAGUUGCAGAUGGUCACAAUACACAGAUCUAAUCAGGUCGUUCUGAAUGAGGAUUUUAUUUAUGAUCCUCCUGAGGUCGACCCACAUUCAUAACAACCUGAAUGGUCCAAUAGUGUCAGCGCUUCUGAACUCAAAGUGAAAUAUGGAGAGGAAGUAAUGAGUCACAUAAAGUAACAUAUGAUUAAGUAGGAUUCCAGUGCAUGGCAUUGCUUCAGGUCCCGCUCCCACACCCGGAAGGAAGGAGGAAUUUGGGUUUGUUUACAUGGAAAACAUUUGAGUUCAUGCCUGGCAAAAUUACAUCAUGAGCUAUUUAUGAUACAUAUAUCUGCCAGAUUGCAAAGUCGGAUAAAAAAAGAAUGGGUAGAGGAUUUUGAGUUUUACUUGUAUCAUGAAAUAGCUUUAAUUUAUUUUAGACAAUAACGUCUAAACAAAUCUAAAUACAGACUUUUUAUUGGUUAGGGUCAAAACAAUGUUUUUGCUUCAAACAGCGACUGAAGUUUCCUUUGGUUAAAAUUCCCAAAUUCCUGUUUUUAAGUAUCUCAGGCUGAACUUGGAGGUUUUUGAAGUUAUUCUUUUCAUGUUUCAAUUUUCUAUUGCUCUGUUAAAUUUUCUGGAUUCUGGAAAUCUUAAAAAGGUCAACUAUGAAACUUUUCUGAUGUUUGAAGGUGUUUUUUUUGAUAUGUUGUUGAUAACAAUGAGGUCAAAUUAAAUAAACCACAGCCCGUUGGUUUCAUCCCAGAACGAUGUCCCUCAAAAUGAUAGUGUUGCAAAUUUCCCUGGUUGAAAGUGUUAAAGUGCAGCUGAGGACAGGGUGCUCCGUCUCAAACUGUCCCCUGGGAAUCACCAGCAGUGCUCCACCUGUUUUUAUUUUUGAUCAUUGUUAUCACAUAUUAGCCAGUUGUGUAAUACUUAGCUUUCCAGAGUCGUACAAAAUAUGGGAUUUUUCCCAUGAAUUGUGCAACGAAACCAGACAAUAAAAAGGGAUCCUGCCAACAGAGAGCACACAUCUGAGGAAUCUAAACUUAGGAGAAAACUCACCAGUGAAAACAUGAAGUCUGUGAUCCUCGCUCUUUUGGUGGUGUUGGUGGUCGGCCACAGUGACGCCUUGAGGUGUUACUGUGGAGGUAAGACUCAGUGUUCAAGCAGAAUUCAGACCUGCUCUGGUUCAGGCCAAGUCUGUAUCAGCUUCAGGUAUAACCCCCCUGUUACCGGAUACUUCCAGAGUUGCUAUCGAGCAACUGAUUGUCAAAGGUUGAUAAGUGCAGGGGUAGGAACCGGGCGCUGCUGCAGCUCUGACCUGUGCAACUAAAGAAUGAACAUUGUGCAACACAUCUUCCAGUGAAUAAACAAUCCAUUGUAAUGUAUUGUUUGCUGCAUUGUCCUAAUAAAGAUCAUUCAGUUGCUA
Molecule: long non-coding RNA, 2647 nt
Organism: Platichthys flesus (European flounder)
Lineage: Eukaryota; Metazoa; Chordata; Actinopteri; Pleuronectiformes; Pleuronectidae
Exons: 9
Source: RefSeq, a predicted model, not a curated record